Molecule: non-coding RNA, 1994 nt
Organism: Cyanistes caeruleus (blue tit)
Lineage: Eukaryota; Metazoa; Chordata; Aves; Passeriformes; Paridae
Source: RefSeq, a predicted model, not a curated record
AAUUAUCUGAAAAUAAAUAAUGCCUUGAGUGUCUGGAUUCUUUUAUUGAUAGAGAGGUACUUAUUUCCUUUACAAAAAGGCCCAUAUUAUUUUAGCUUUGUUUUUACAGCUGUAGUUAUUGUGCAGAUAGAGGUCAAGGAGGUUCUUUGGGAACUGAAGUAUCAUUAUAAAAUUAUAACCAAGUCAUGAAUAAUAGCUUUAGUUUGAGAGUUUCUGACAUUUAUUUCAUUGUUGCAGCCAUAGUAAAAUGCUACAACUUAUAUACCAUUCUCACUGAACAUGGAAUAUGUUUUCAAAAUGGAGUACUUAAUGGUUUGGAAGUAAAAGGGAUAGUUGACACAUAGUAGUUCUGUCCUAAUUUCUACCUACUUAAAACUGGUCACAGACCAAAGGAUUAAUUCCACAAGAGGAAGUUAGGAUUACAAAGAGACAGGCAAGAUAUUCACACUCCCUAAAAUUUGGUGAUAAUCGAGGUCCAUCAACUAUACUAUAUAUCUAAGAGUACCUAGUAACCCAGUGAAAAUGACAGUUCCUUUGGUGACCCCGUAUCAAUAAGCCAUAUGUUGCUUCAAAUCAUACAGAGUGCUUUGAACCUAGAUGUAUUCCUUCUUGUGUGACUUUUUAAGCCAGCAGAAGACUUGUAGAGACCGCUCCACGUGAGACUACACUCCUCAUCGUGUUUUCGUUCGAGCUGACCAUGUGGCCAUUACAAGGAACUACAUCUUUUGGAGCACACUCCAAAAAAAACAUUAGAGGUAGUUAAACAAUUCCAUCUAUGUAUGAAGUAUAGACAAAAUGGUAUCAACUCUUGAUUUGUGAGCACAUUCUAGGUGGAGAUAUUUGGCUACAGCACAAAGUUAGCUUCCUAGAAAAGACUUAGCAGAAGGAUUAGAAUGUCUCUUCAGCAAGUUCACUGAUGAUUUGAAACUGGGAGCUUAACUGUGUGAGGGUUUUUGUGUUAGAAAGCAAAACUGGAGAAAAAGAAAGAUCCAAGAAUACAGGAAUUUGUUCAGAGAUGCUCAUUGUGGUACACAAAUGAUGCAUUUCCAAUUUCUUUCCUGAAUGUUUCUUCUCAAAAUAUUAUACCCAAAGGAGAAAAGAUCUUUUGCAAUUCUUAAAUUAUAGAUUAGUAUUGGAGUCAUUAGAAUUGACUUAGACUCUACUUAUAUUAGAAAUAAAAUGUUUGGAAAAUAAUUGAAAAGAAAAAUUUACUUUUUAAGUUUGUACUGAAAACUAUAACCCCUUAAAGGUUCUUACUCCCUUCCCAGAUACAUACAUUGUUGCUUUUAGUUACUAAAAUCUGUCAGCGUAGGUGCCUCUACCCAUUCAGAACGGCAUAAUCUAAUUUUCAGUCAUAGUUCAACUUCAUUUGAAGAAACAAUAUGACAGCAAUGUGCCACUGCCUCAGGGUGGGGACAGCAGAUCUUACUGAAGCUGGAGAUUCAUGGGAUAAGUACAGACAACCUUCUUGGCAAUUUAUGAACACUGCUCAUAACUUUACUACGUCUUGAGACACAGUUCAGGGCCAGUAGUUUUCUUUGUUUUGUUGAUGGAUAUUGGCUCAUCCCAAAUUAAAUAAAAGUUACUGCUCUUGUCUGGAGGAUAAAAGAAAGCAUUUAAAGCUUGCAGUAGUUUAUUCAAAUGAUAAAAUCUUGAAGAUCUUUAAACAGUGUGUCCAGCAGUGCCUCUAGGCUAUCUACAUGCUAAAACAGACGAAAGGAGAAAAUUGGUACCUGGAGAGAGGCAGAAAAAUUCUUUGUAGCCUUCUUGCCUAUAUUGCAUUUAUAUGUGCACUGCUCCCAGGUGUUUUUACUUGUGCUGCAUGUUAUACUUUAAAUAUUGACACCUCAAGGAAAAAUAAAGGAAGUUAGAAGAGUAUGAUCCUGAUGAAGAAUUUGCCAUAUUUUCUUCGACAUUAUAUGUUAUACUUCAAUGCCAUACUGGAAAUAUUAUAUUAAUAUUGUUCAAAAGCAGAUAGUAGUAGAAGAUUCAUG